CACAGAGAGAUUGAUGUGUGGUGAUGAGCGGGGUACGGGUGAGUAAUGUCUGGGAAUCUGCGUGGUGGACGGGGAUAAACAGUGGAUACGGUAGUUAAUCCCUCAUUUCGUCGCAAGAACAAAGUGGAAGCGUGGGCGUCAUUCCAUCAGAUGUGCCCAGAUGGGAUUAUAUUGUAGGUGGGGUAAGGUCUCACAUAGGAGAAGAUCUAUAGGUGGUGUGAGAGGAUUACCACCCACUGUGGAUGUGAGACGCGGUCCAGUCUCAUGGGGGAGGCAGCAGUGGGGAAUUUUGCACAAUGGGAGCAAGCGUGAUGCAGCCAUGCCGUGAGUGUGAAGAAGUUUUUGGGGUUGUAAAGCACUUUCAGGGGGGAGGAAGGGGGGGAAGUAAAUUGCUUCUUCGAUUGACGUUUCUCCAGCAGGAAAAAAGCACCGGUUAAUUCGGUGCCCACCAGCCGCGGUAAUACGGAGGGUCCAAGGGUUAAGGGGAAUUUUUGGGGGUAAAGCGCAGCACAGGCGGUUUGUCAAUUUGAAUGUGAAAUCCCCGGGGUAAGCGUGGGAAGGUCCCAUUGGAAGUUGGCAGGUUAGAGUCAGGUAGAGGGGGGUAGAAUUCCAGGUGUAGCGGUGAAAUGGGUAGAAAUUGGAAGGAAACCGGUGGGGAAGGCGGCCCCCUGUACAAAGACUGACGCUCAGGUGAGAAAGCGUGGGGAGCAACCAGGAUUAGAUACCCUUGUAGUCCACGGUGUAAACGAUGUCGAUUAGGAGGUUGUGCCCUGGAGGCGUGGGUGCCGGAGCUAACGCGUUAAAUCACCGCCUGGGGAGUGCGGCCGCAAGGUUAAAACUCAAAUGAAUUGACGGGGGCCCGCACAAGCGGUGGAGCAUGUGGUUUAAUUGGAUGCAACGCGAAGAACCUUACCUGGUCUUGACAUCCACAGAACUUUCCAGAGAUGAUUUGGUUCCUUCGGGAACUGUGAGACAGGUGUUGCAUGGCUGUCGUCAGCUCGUGUUGUGAAAUGUUGGGUUAAGUCCCGCAACGAGAGCAACCCUUAUCCUUUGUUGCCAGCGGUCCGGCCGGGCACUCAAAGGAGACUGCCAGUGAUAAACUGGAGGAAGGUGGGGAUGACGUCAAGUCAUCAUGGCCCUUACGACCAGGGCUACACACGUGCUACAAUGGCAUGUACAAAGAGAAGCGACGUCGCGAGAGCAAGCUGACCUCAUAAAGUAUGUCGUAGUCCGGAUUGGAGUCUGCAACUCGACUCCAUGAAGUCGGAAUCGCUAGUAUUCGUGGAUCAGAAUGCUGCGGUGAAUACGUUCCCGGGCCUUGUACACACCGCCCGUCACCCCAUGGGAGUGUGUUGCAAAAGAAGU
This 1365-nucleotide ribosomal RNA is filed under the name Klebsiella variicola. Its description in RNAcentral is "partial 16S ribosomal RNA". It matches the Rfam family "Bacterial small subunit ribosomal RNA", at positions 72 to 1427 of the family's 1533-position model. Lineage: Bacteria; Pseudomonadati; Pseudomonadota; Gammaproteobacteria; Enterobacterales; Enterobacteriaceae. The record is from RNAcentral.